UGGGGAAUAUUGCACAAUGGGGGAAACCCUGAUGCAGCGACGCCGCGUGAAGGAAGAAGUAUUUCGGUAUGUAAACUUCUAUCAGCAGGGAAGAAGGAAGUGACGGUACCUGACUAAGAAGCCCCGGCUAACUACGUGCCAGCAGCCGCGGUAAUACGUAGGGGGCAAGCGUUAUCCGGAUUUACUGGGUGUAAAGGGAGCGUAGGCGGCUGAGCAAGUCAGAAGUGAAAGCCCGCGGCUUAACUGCGGGACUGCUUUUGAAACUGCCCAGCUUGAUUGCCGGAGAGGUAAGUGGAAUUCCUAGUGUAGCGGUGAAAUGCGUAGAUAUUAGGAGGAACACCAGUGGCGAAGGCGGCUUACUGGACGGUCAAUGACGCUGAGGCUCGAAAGCGUGGGGAGCAAACA
This 405-nucleotide ribosomal RNA is filed under the name uncultured bacterium. RNAcentral's name for it is "bacterial SSU rRNA". It matches the Rfam family "Bacterial small subunit ribosomal RNA", at positions 355 to 774 of the family's 1533-position model. The record is from RNAcentral.